This is a non-coding RNA of Picea glauca (white spruce), 3512 nucleotides long. NCBI's taxonomy places the organism in Eukaryota, Viridiplantae, Streptophyta, Pinopsida, Pinales, Pinaceae. The record is from Rfam.
GUUCGAAUUAGGAAGGGAUUAUGGUGGAUACCUAGGCACCCAAAGACGAGGAAGGGUGUGGUAAGUGACGAAAUGCUUUGGGGAGUUGAAAAUGAGCAUAGAUCUGGAGAUUCCCGAAUAGGUUAACCUUUUUAACUGUUGCUUAAUCCAUGGGUAGGCAAGAGACAACCUGGAGAACUGAAACAUCUUAGUAGCUAGAGGAAUAGAAACCAAAAGUGAUUCCUAUAGUAGAAGCGAGCGAAAUGGGAUCAUCCUAAAUCGUGAAAAUGGGGUUGUGGGAGAGCACAAUAUAACCUCUGUGCUACUAGGUGAAGUAGUUGAGUCCUGCACCCUAGAUGGUGAGAGUCUCGUAGCCAAAAUAAUCAUUGGGUUACGCUCUAACCCAAGUAGCAUGGGGCACGUGGAAUCCCAUGUGAAUCAGCAAGGACCACCUUGCAAGGAUAAAUACUCUUGGGUGAAUGAUAGCGAAGUAGUAUCGUGAGGGAAAGGUGAAAAGAACCCCCAUCGGGGAGUGAAAUAGAACAUGAAACUGUAAGAUUCCAAGCAGUGGGAGGAAAAUGAUAUCUCUGACCACGUGCAUGUUGAAGAAUGAGUCAGCAAAUUAUAGGCAGUGGCUUGGUUAAGGGAACCCACUGGAGCCGUAGUGAGAGCGAGUCUUCAUGGGGCAAUUGUCAUUGCUUAUGGACCCGAACCUAGGUGAUCUAUCCAUGACUAGGAUGAAGCUUGGGUGAAACCAAGUGGAGGUCUGAACUGAAUGAUGUUGAAAAAUCAGUAGAUGAGUCAUGGUUAGGGGUGAAAUUCCACUUGAACCCAGAGCUAGCUGGUUCUCCCUGAAAUGUGUUGAGGUGCAAUAGUUGAUUGAACCAUCUAGGGGUAAAGCACUGUUUCGGUAUGGUCCGCGAGAGCGGUACCAAAUUGAGGAAAACUCUGAAUACUAGAUUUCCCCAAUAAAAGGGGUAAAGGUCAGCCAAUGAGAUGAUGGGGGAUAAGCUUCAUCGUCGAGAGGGAAACAACCUAGAUCAUCAGCUAAGGCCCCUAAAUGACCGCUCAAUGAUGAAGGAAGUAUGAGUGCAAAGACAGCGAGGAGGUUUUCCUAGAAGCAACCAACCUUGAAAGAGUGCGUAAUAGCUCAUUGAUCGAGCACUCUUGCAUGGAAGAUGAACUAUACUAAGAGAUCUGUUGAAGCUGUGGGAUGUAAAAAUACAUCGGUAGGGGAGCGUUCAACCUCAGAGAGAAGCACUGGCGUGAGAAGGUGUGGACAAAGUGGAAGCGAGAAUGUCGGCUUGAUUAAUGCAAACAUUAGUGAGAAUCCAAUGCCCUAAAAACCUAAGGGUUCCUUCACAAGGUUCGUCCAUGGAGGGUGAGUCAGAGCCUUAGAUUAGGGAAAAAGGCAUAGUCGAUGGACUACAAGUUAAUAUUCCUGUACUACCCCUUUUUGGUCUCAAGGGAUGGAGGAGGCUAGGUUAGCCGAAAUAUGGUUAUCGAUUCAAGGACGCAAGGUGACCCUCUAUACAUUGAUUUAAAGGUAAAAGAAUAAUCAAAUAUAGGUGUGUACAAGGUGAGGUUGGGGGUGGAUAUUCCUCAUCAUCUACUCUAGCACACAAAAAUCCAAUAUGGCUUAUCCAAACAUUAUAGGAUGCACAAAAUCAUGUAGGAGCGCCCAUAUCAUCAAUGAGGGUGAGUAUACCUCCUAGGAGAUAUGUUAACCAUAUUGUAUUAGAUUCUUCCAUUUGUGAUCUUUACAAUUGUUUUGAGGAGGUGAUGUGUGAUACUUUGUUGGAUGAGUUUGAUGUUUUGGGGGUAGUUCCUUUCUGGGAGCCAGUGGUUGAUUUUGAGAUUGCAACAUGUUCAAAUUUGCAAAAAGAAAGUUUGUUUGAGUUGCAAAGGGAGAAAAAUUAUGUUAGUGAAAACACUUUCCUCAUAAAGAGGGUGUGUUUUAUUUCAAGGUUACUCUAAAAUUGUUUGAUUGAGUUGCAAAGGAAGCAUAAAGAUGUUGGUGAAAACACUUUCCUCAUAAAGAGGGAGUGUUUUCUUUUGAGGUUACUCCAAAAUUAAGUUACACCAUACUUAAGGGUGCUUCAUGUGAUGUGGGGUGCAUGGUGUAUUGAUAACCCUUAGUUGAUGUGAUGGACAUACACAUUGGAGUUAGCUUUCCCAUUGAUUGUAAGACCUUGUAUUGAUGCAUAUGUGGAAUUCUUCCUUGGAGCAUUGGAGACCUACAUGGCUAGUGGCUUUCUUCAUGAGACAAAAAUGGAGUUCGAUUGCUUCCUUGGGAUGAUGGUUUUCCUUGGAGGAGGAUAAUUGGGCAUCUUGGAGGAGGGAAUUGAACCCUAGAUGGCACGGGGUCACUUGGUUUCUUACAUGGAGACUUGGCAUUGACUUGAGGACACUUGGGUUGAAAACCAAUCAUGUAGGUGGCAUUGACCCAGAGGUAUACAUGGCCUAAGAGGGAGUGUUGGAGAAUUGGAGACCUUUGGAGGAGGAGUGUUACACACACCUCAUGGAGUGUUCAAUGUUCAAUCCUUGUUUGUUGGAUGUGCUUCCCUUGGAGCUUGGCAUGUGUGAGUUGGAGUUGGAGUGAUCCACAUGUGGGGACAUUUAGUAAUUAGAUAGACUUUUUGUUGUAGACUUGAUCCACUUUAUGAUUUUUUCCUUCCUUGACUUUCAUAAAAAAAAAUUGAGAAGGUAUUUUCAUCACUUGUACUUCUUCACUCAUAGACUGACAGCUUGCAUUAGAGAUGUGGGACUAGGGUGAACUUGUCUUCUUAUACUCUUCUUCAUGUGUAUUUUCUUUAUGUUUGAAUCAUCCUUAGAGUUUCUUGUCAUAAGUAGUAUUUAAUUUUCUGUUCUGCAUUACUUCUCUAAUUCUAAUAAAAGCACAAUGAAAAUGAUCUCUAAAUAGAGGAAGGUCAUCUCUUUAGUUGAUAAAAUUAGGGAAAGUAAGAAAUAUGGAGAAAACGAAGAGAAGGGAUCUUCAUGGAGAAAAAAAGAGUGAACCCUAACCCUAACUCAAUUGGAGUCUUGUGAUUUUAGGGACAAAGCCCAUGAAAUUACCAUUUUCGACGGCCUCCUUCUCUUUCUCUAUCGCUCGAGCUUUUAUGUGGAUCUUGGUCUCCUUAUCUGUGGCUAUCCCUUGAGUUUCUCUUUCCCAACUCCUUCUAUGUGUCUUGGCCUCCUCUUUCCCUAUCUCUUGCCCUCCUCUUGGCCUACUUCUCUUGCCCAACGUCUAUUAUCUUAUAUGUUGCACGAGUGUAGUGUGAGUGUGCUCUGGCUCUUUCCCUCCUCUUUGCCUCCUUCUCUGUCGCGUGAGUGCAGUGUGAGUGUGAUCUAGCUCUUGCCCUGAUCGUCUUUGCAUCCUUCUCUGUCACGCGAGUGUAGUGUGAGUUUUCUCUAGCUCUUUCCCUCCUCUUCGCAUCCUUCUAUGUCAAGUGAGUGUGUAUUUUGGGUUCUAAUUUGAUCAUGAGUGUGAGAUGUGCGAGCACGAGUCAUGUAGUCUUUAAUUUGUUUGUUUU